GGAGGAAUGGCCGAGUGGUUUAAGGCGGCGGUCUUGAAAACCGUUGACGGGGAAACUUGUCCGGGGGUUCGAAUCCCUCUUCCUCCGCCA
This 90-nucleotide transfer RNA is filed under the name Acidobacteriota bacterium. RNAcentral describes it as "tRNA-Ser". It matches the Rfam family "tRNA". From Rfam's summary of the family: Transfer RNA (tRNA) molecules are approximately 80 nucleotides in length. Their secondary structure includes four short double-helical elements and three loops (D, anti-codon, and T loops). Lineage: Bacteria; Pseudomonadati; Acidobacteriota. RNAcentral also lists the same sequence under 1 other name. The record is from RNAcentral.